GAGUUUGAUCCUGGCUCAGGAUGAACGCUGGCGGCGUGCUUAACACAUGCAAGUCGAACGAGGCCCAACCUUCGGGUGAAGACCGAGUGGCGAACGGGUGAGUAACACGUGGGGAACCUACCCUUCUCUCUGGGAUAACGCCGAGAAAUCGGCGCUAAUACCGGAUACUCCUUGCGGAUCGCAUGGUCUGCUUGGGAAAGCUCCGGCGGAGAGGGACGGCCCCGCGGCCCAUUAGCUAGUUGGUGAGGUAACGGCCCACCAAGGCGACGAUGGGUAGCCGAGCUGAGAGGCUGAUCGGCCACACUGGGACUGAGACACGGCCCAGACUCCUACGGGAGGCAGCAGUGGGGAAUCUUGCGCAAUGGGCGAAAGCCUGACGCAGCAACGCCGCGUGCGGGAUGAAGGCCCUCGGGUCGUAAACCGCUUUCAGCAGGGAUGAAACUGACAGUACCUGCAGAAGAAGCCCCGGCUAAAUACGUGCCAGCAGCCGCGGUAAUACGUAUGGGGCAAGCGUUAUCCGGAUUUAUUGGGCGUAAAGCGCGCGUAGGCGGCUUGUUAAGUCAGAUGUGAAAUCCGGGGGCUCAACCCGCGGCUUGCAUCUGAAACUGGCAGGCUUGAGUCUGGUAGAGGAAAGUGGAAUUCCUGGUGUAGCGGUGAAAUGCGCAGAUAUCAGGAGGAACACCAGUGGCGAAGGCGGCUUUCUGGGCCACGACUGACGCUGAGGCGCGAAAGCUAGGGGAGCGAACAGGAUUAGAUACCCUGGUAGUCCUAGCCGUAAACGAUGGGCACUAGGUGUGGGGGGUCAUCGACUCCCUCCGUGCCGAAGCUAACGCAUUAAGUGCAACGCCUGGGGAGUACGGCCGCAAGGCUAAAACUCAAAGGAAUUGACGGGG
Molecule: ribosomal RNA, 893 nt
Filed under: uncultured bacterium
Lineage: Bacteria
Description: bacterial SSU rRNA
Rfam family: Bacterial small subunit ribosomal RNA
Source: RNAcentral